Molecule: long non-coding RNA, 1293 nt
Filed under: Lonchura striata (white-rumped munia)
Lineage: Eukaryota; Metazoa; Chordata; Aves; Passeriformes; Estrildidae
Description: domestica (Bengalese finch) lncRNA (ENSLSDG00000003045.1)
Source: RNAcentral
CGGUCACUCAGCUCUGGUCACUCUGAGGUCAGUGCAGUCACUCAGCGGUCACUCAGCGGUCACUCAGCGGUCACUCAGCGGUCAGUCUGUGGUCAUUCAGCGCCGGUAACUCAGCGGUCACUCUGUGGUCACUCAGCGGUCACUCCGAGGUCAGUCCGUGGUCAUUCAGCGCCAGUCACUCUGUGGUCACUCAGCGGUCACUCUAUGGUCACUUGGUGCUGGUCACUCUGAUGUCACUCUGAGGUCACCCACUGGUCACUCUGUGGUCACUUAGCGGUCACUCCGUGGUCACUCAGCGGUCACUCAGCUCUGGUCACUCUGAGGUCAGUGCAGUCACAGCACCGGUCACUCAUCGGUCACUCAUUGGUCACUUGGGACACUCAGCGGUCAGUAGUCACUCCGUGGUCACUCAGCGGUCACUGUGUGAUAACUCAGCGGUCACUUGGUCACUCAGUGGUCACUCAAGGUUUCUCAUUGGUCACUCGGGACACUCAGCGGUCAGCGGUCACUCCGUGGUCACUCAGCGGUCACUCUGACGUCGCUCUGAGGUCACUCAGCACCGGUCACUCAGUGGUCACUCCGUGGUCACUCAGGGUCACUCAUUGAUCACUCAUUGGUCACUCAGCGGUCAGUCGGUCAGUGGUCACUCUGUGGUCACUCAGUGGUCACUUCUCAGUGGUCACUCAUUGAUCACUCAUUGGUCACUUAGGGUCACUCAUUGAUCACUCAGUGGUCACUCAGGGUCACUCAGGGUCACUCAUUGAUCACUCAUUGGUCACUCAGCGGUCAGUUGGUCAGUGGUCACUCAGGGUCACUCAGUGGUCACUCAUUGAUCACUCAUUGAUCACUCAGCGGUCAGUUGGUCAGUGGUCACUCCGUGGUCACUCAGGGGUCACUCAGGGUCACUCAUUGAUCACUCAUUGGUCACUCAUUGGUCACUCAGCGGUCAGUCGGUCAGUGGUCACUCAGUGGUCACUCAGGGUCACUCAUUGGUCACUCAGGGGUCACUCAGCGGUCAGUUGGUCAGUGGUCACUCAGGGUCACUCAGGGUCACUCAUUGAUCACUCAUUGAUCACUCAGGGGUCACUCAGGGUCACCCAUUGGUCACUCACUGGUCACUGGGCACUCAGGGUCACUCAAGGGUCACUCAUUGAUCACUCAGGGGUCACUCAGCGGUCAGUCGGUCAGUGGUCACUCAGUGGUCACUCAGUGGUCACUCAUGGCUCCGGCCGUGCUGCUGCUGCUGCUGCUCCUCCGGGCGGGGGCGGCCUGGGGGGAGCCCCCGGAGCUUCC